Molecule: microRNA precursor, 99 nt
Filed under: Gallus gallus (chicken)
Lineage: Eukaryota; Metazoa; Chordata; Aves; Galliformes; Phasianidae
Description: microRNA gga-mir-1460 precursor
Rfam family: mir-1460 microRNA precursor family
Source: miRBase by way of RNAcentral
AUGCUCCCUGCAGACAAUUUAUUGCAGCCUUCUCAGGGUGGCCCCCUGCUCUGUUCACCAGGGGGAAGGUGUAAUAAAUUGCCUGCGGGGAGGCUUUGC